GUCCCAAGGGUUGGGCUGUUCGCCCAUUAAAGCGGUACGCGAGCUGGGUUCAGAACGUCGUGAGACAGUUCGGUCCCUAUCCGUCGCGGGCGUAGGAAAUUUGAGAGGAGCUGCCCUUAGUACGAGAGGACCGGGGUGGACGUACCUCUGGUGUAUCAGUUGUUCCGCCAGGAGCAUCGCUGAGUAGCUAUGUACGGAUGAGAUAAACGCUGAAAGCAUCUAAGUGUGAAACUCGCCUCGAGAUGAGAUUUCCCAUUCUUUAUGAAGUAAGACCCCUCAGAGAUGAUGAGGUAGAUAGGCUAGAAGUGGAAGUGCGGCGACGCAUGGAGCGGACUAGUACUAAUGGUUCGAGGACUUAACCAA
This 363-nucleotide ribosomal RNA is filed under the name Weissella cibaria. RNAcentral's name for it is "partial 23S ribosomal RNA". It matches the Rfam family "Bacterial large subunit ribosomal RNA", at positions 2562 to 2925 of the family's 2925-position model. The record is from RNAcentral. Lineage: Bacteria; Bacillati; Bacillota; Bacilli; Lactobacillales; Lactobacillaceae.